Molecule: ribosomal RNA, 713 nt
Filed under: uncultured bacterium
Lineage: Bacteria
Description: bacterial SSU rRNA
Rfam family: Bacterial small subunit ribosomal RNA
Source: RNAcentral
ACAUGCAAGUCGAACGAGAUGGCCCAGUGAAGGUUGCGUGCUUGCACAAGACUGAAUCUGGAUUCCCAUCUAGUGGCAGACGGGUGAGUAACACGUGGGUGACCUACCUUUUCGUUGGGGAUAACAGUUGGAAACGAUUGCUAAUACCGAAUAAAAUGUAAGAGUCAAUUUUACAUUGAAAGGAGCCUUUAAAGCUUCGCGAUUAGAUGGGCCUGCGGCGUAUUAACUAGUUGGUGGGGUAAUGGCCUACCAAGGUAACGAUGCGUAGCCGAACUGAGAGGUUGAUCGGCCACACUGGGACUGAGACACGGCCCAGACUCCUACGGGAGACAGCAGUUAGGAAUAUUCGUCAAUGGAGGAAACUCUGAACGAGCAAUGCCGCGUGAGUGAUGAAGGUCUCAUAGAUUGUAAAACUCUGUUGUAUGGAAAAAAUGACUAGGUUAGGAAAUGAACUUAGUGUGAUGGUACCAUACCAGAAAGCCCCGGCUAACUACGUGCCAGCAGCCGCGGUAAUACGUAGGGGGCGAGCGUUAUCCGGAUUUAUUGGGCGUAAAGCGUGUGUAGGCGGUUUAUUAAGUUUAAGAUUAAAGCCUGGGGCUCAACUCCAGUAUGUCUUAAAAACUGGUAGACUUGAGUACGGUAGAGGCAAACGGAAUUUCUAGUGUAGCGGUGAAAUGCGUAGAUAUUAGAAGGAACACCAGUGGCGAAAGCGG